GCAGAGUGGACGUUCGGGAUCCAGAGAGCGGCGUACGGGUGCGGAACACGUGUGCAACCUGCCUUUAUCAGGGGGAUAGCCUUUCGAAAGGAAGAUUAAUACCCCAUAAUAUUUAGAAUGGCAUCAUUUUAAAUUGAAAACUCCGGUGGAUAGAGAUGGGCACGCGCAAGAUUAGAUAGUUGGUGAGGUAACGGCUCACCAAGUCUGCGAUCUUUAGGGGGCCUGAGAGGGUGAUCCCCCACACUGGUACUGAGACACGGACCAGACUCCUACGGGAGGCAGCAGUGAGGAAUAUUGGACAAUGGGUGCGAGCCUGAUCCAGCCAUCCCGCGUGAAGGACGACGGCCCUAUGGGUUGUAAACUUCUUUUGUAUAGGGAUAAACCUACCCUCGUGAGGGUAGCUGAAGGUACUAUACGAAUAAGCACCGGCUAACUCCGUGCCAGCAGCCGCGGUAAUACGGAGGGUGCAAGCGUUAUCCGGAUUUAUUGGGUUUAAAGGGUCCGUAGGCGGAUGUGUAAGUCAGUGGUGAAAUCUCACAGCUUAACUGUGAAACUGCCAUUGAUACUGCAUGUCUUGAGUGUUGUUGAAGUAGCUGGAAUAAGUAGUGUAGCGGUGAAAUGCAUAGAUAUUACUUAGAACACCAAUUGCGAAAGGCAGGUUACUAAGCAACAACUGACGCUGAUGGGACGAAAGCGUGGGGGAGCGAACAGGAUUAGAUACCCUGAGUAGUCCACGCCCGUAAACGAUGCUGACUCGGUUUUUGGGGUUUUCGGGAUUCAAGACUAACGAAAGUGAUAAGUUAGCCACCUUGCGCAGUACGAACGCAAGUUUUGAAACUCAAACGCGAUUGACGGGGACCGCCACAAGCCGUG
RNAcentral lists this ribosomal RNA (873 nucleotides) under Chryseobacterium candidae. RNAcentral describes it as "bacterial SSU rRNA". It matches the Rfam family "Bacterial small subunit ribosomal RNA", at positions 68 to 934 of the family's 1533-position model. Lineage: Bacteria; Pseudomonadati; Bacteroidota; Flavobacteriia; Flavobacteriales; Weeksellaceae. The record is from RNAcentral.